AAUCCAACCGGCAAGUUCAAUGGAAUUUUCUCUGUGUGUGUGUGUGCAUAUAAUACUAUUUGCAACCAAUUUAACAAAUCUACCCCAAAGGAAAAAAGGGCCAUGCAGCACAUGGAAGAAGGCCAUGCAUGAAACAGGAAACGGAAAAGGAGGAAGGAGCAAGAAGACGAAGGCAGGCAGCAGGCAUGGUGAAAGAUGCACGGAAUUUUCUUUGCAGAGCUGUCGACCAGCUGCUCGGUUUCCCGCCCGCACUACAUGCAACCACACACAUC
RNAcentral lists this long non-coding RNA (272 nucleotides) under Hordeum vulgare. RNAcentral's name for it is "long non-coding RNA (HVUL_LNC017163)". Lineage: Eukaryota; Viridiplantae; Streptophyta; Magnoliopsida; Poales; Poaceae. The record is from RNAcentral.